AUAACGGUCCUAAGGUAGCGAAAUUCCUUGUCGGGUAAGUUCCGACCUGCACGAAUGGCGUAAUGAUGGCCAGGCUGUCUCCACCCGGGACUCAGUGAAAUUGAACUCGCUGUGAAGAUGCAGUGUACCCGCGGCAAGACGGAAAGACCCCGUGAACCUUUACUAUAGCUUGACACUGAACACUGGUCCUUGAUGUGCAGGAUAGGUGGGAGGCUUUGAAGUGUGGACGCCAGUCUGCAUGGAGCCAUCCUUGAAAUACCACCCUUUAAUGGCUGGUGUUCUAACGUGGGCCCGUGAACCGGGUUGCGGACAGUGUCUGGUGGGUAGUUUGACUGGGGCGGUCUCCUCCUAAAGAGUAACGGAGGAGCACGAAGGUUGGCUAAUCCUGGUCGGACAUCAGGAGGUUAGUGCAAUGGCAUAAGCCAGCUUGACUGCGAGCGUGACGGCGCGAGCAGGUGCGAAAGCAGGUCAUAGUGAUCCGGUGGUUCUGAAUGGAAGGGCCAUCGCUCAACGGAUAAAAGGUACUCCGGGGAUAACAGGCUGAUACCGCCCAAGAGUUCAUAUCGACGGCGGUGUUUGGCACCUCGAUGUCGGCUCAUCACAUCCUGGGGCUGAAGUAGGUCCCAAGGGUAUGGCUGUUCGCCAUUUAAAGUGGUACGCGAGCUGGGUUUAGAACGUCGUGAGACAGUUCGGUCCCUAUCUGCCGUGGGCGCUGGAAGAUUGAGGGGGGCUGCUCCUAGUACGAGAGGACCGGAGUGGACGCAUCACUGGUGUU
Molecule: ribosomal RNA, 775 nt
Filed under: Salmonella enterica
Lineage: Bacteria; Pseudomonadati; Pseudomonadota; Gammaproteobacteria; Enterobacterales; Enterobacteriaceae
Also listed under: 1 other name
Description: partial 23S ribosomal RNA
Rfam family: Bacterial large subunit ribosomal RNA
Source: RNAcentral